GACGAACGCUGGCGGCGCGCCUAACACAUGCAAGUCGAACGGAGUCAAGAGGAGCUUGCUUUUCUUGACUUAGUGGCGAACGGGUGAGUAACGCGUGAGUAACCUGCCCUGGAGUGGGGGACAACAGUUGGAAACGACUGCUAAUACCGCAUAAGCCCACGGAUCUGCAUGGAUCUGCGGGAAAAGGAUUUAUUCGCUCUAGGAUGGACUCGCGUCCAAUUAGCUAGUUGGUGAGGUAACGGCCCACCAAGGCGACGAUUGGUAGCCGGACUGAGAGGUUGAACGGCCACAUUGGGACUGAGACACGGCCCAGACUCCUACGGGAGGCAGCAAUGGGGGAUAUUGCACAAUGGGGGAAACCCUGAUGCAGCGACGCCGCGUGGAGGAAGAAGGUUUUCGGAUUGUAAACUCCUGUCGUUAGGGACGAUAAUGACGGUACCUAACAAGAAAGCACCAGCUAACUACGUG
Molecule: ribosomal RNA, 468 nt
Filed under: uncultured bacterium
Lineage: Bacteria
Description: partial 16S ribosomal RNA
Rfam family: Bacterial small subunit ribosomal RNA
Source: RNAcentral